GGAUGUGAUGGGGAGCGAAAUUUAGUAGCGAAGUAGCUGAUUUCACACUGUCAAGAAAAGUCUCUAUCGAGGUUAAAGGUACCCGUACCGCAAACCGACACAGGUGGGUGAGGAGAGUAUCCUAAGGCCAGCGAGAGAACUGUUGUUAAGGAACUCGGCAAAAUGACCCCGUAACUUAGGGAUAAGGGGUGCCACCAUCAGGUGGCCGCAGAGAAUAGGCUCAAGCGACUGUUUACCAAAAACAUAGGUUUCUGCUAAGUCGCAAGACGAUGUAUAGGAGCUGACGCCUGCCCGGUGCUGGAAGGUUAAGGGGAUCUGUUAGAGCAA
This 327-nucleotide ribosomal RNA is filed under the name Clostridioides difficile. Its description in RNAcentral is "bacterial LSU rRNA". It matches the Rfam family "Bacterial large subunit ribosomal RNA", at positions 1559 to 1898 of the family's 2925-position model. The record is from RNAcentral. Lineage: Bacteria; Bacillati; Bacillota; Clostridia; Peptostreptococcales; Peptostreptococcaceae.